RNAcentral lists this unclassified non-coding RNA (396 nucleotides) under soil metagenome. RNAcentral's name for it is "partial contains 5.8S ribosomal RNA, internal transcribed spacer 2, and large subunit ribosomal RNA". The stretch from base 1 to 122 matches the Rfam family "5.8S ribosomal RNA", at positions 35 to 154 of the family's 154-position model. The record is from RNAcentral.
GAUGAAGAACGUAGCGAAAUGCGAUACUUGGUGUGAAUUGCAGAAUCCCGUGAACCAUCGAGUCUUUGAACGCAAGUUGCGCCCGAAGCCAUUAGGCCGAGGGCACGCCUGCCUGGGUGUCACACACCGUUACCCUCGCGCCAACGUCCAUCGUUGGCCGCGGCGCGGGGCGUGCGCUGACCUCCCGCGAGCGGGGUCUCGUGGUUGGUUGAAAAUCGAGUUCGCGGUCGAGGGUGCCGUGAUGAAAUGGUGGAUGGGCGACGCCCGAGGCCAAUCACGCGCGACUCUGUCCUGCUCGGACUCCUGGACCCCUUCGGCGUCUCCGGACGCUCUUUGGCGAGACCUCAGGUCAGGCGGGGCUACCCGCUGAGUUUAAGCAUAUCAAUAAGCGGAGGA